RNAcentral lists this ribosomal RNA (253 nucleotides) under uncultured bacterium. RNAcentral's name for it is "partial 16S ribosomal RNA". It matches the Rfam family "Bacterial small subunit ribosomal RNA", at positions 524 to 776 of the family's 1533-position model. The record is from RNAcentral.
UACGUAGGUGGCAAGCGUUGUCCGGAAUUAUUGGGCGUAAAGCGCGCGCAGGCGGUCCUUUAAGUCUGAUGUGAAAGCCCACGGCUCAACCGUGGAGGGUCAUUGGAAACUGGGGGACUUGAGUGCAGGAGAGAAGAGUGGAAUUCCUGGUGUAGCAGUGAAAUGCGUAGAUAUCAGGAGGAAUACCGAUGGAGAAGGCAGGUCUCUGGGCUGACACUGACGCUCAUGCACGAAAGCGUGGGGAGCAAACAGG